GCACAAGAAGAAAAAAUAUGAAGUUCAUGAAGAAGAACAAGAACUUCAUGAAGAGUUCAAUGCUAGUGGCGAUGAUGGGAUUAAAAUCAUCAAUGCAGACACUUUCCCUGUGUAUCUGCAGCCUAAUGCUAAUGGUGACAACAUUAUUAGGUCAGUCCUGGGAAAACCUUUCGUCAAAUUCAGGGAUAUCCUCAAGAGAAAUCAAUUGGAAGAUUUUUUCAGAAAUAGCUGUUUCAGUCAUUUUCUUUAUUUACCCAUUGAUACAAUUCCACGUUUUCAAAUGACCAUUGUGUAUGAACUUCUGAAAAGAAGAUUCAUUUUUGAAAAUACCAAUAAAAAGGAUGAGAUGAAAAUACCAAUAAGACGGAUGAAAUUGUAAUUAAUUAUUGUGGCAUGCCAAUUUUCUUUGGCAUAAGAGAGUUUGCCAUAGUUACAGGGCUAAAAUGUCAUCCUCCUCUUGAGCCCAUCCCUGAAUACAUUGUUAAAAAAGAACCACGAAGAAGACUGAAAGGAGUAAAAGAAGUAGCAGAAGUAGGACAACAGUCAUUGCCAACUGAGGAGUAGGACUUGAUGUCCCUUGUUGGCAAAAGCUUUAAAAAUUCUGACUUAGUAAAUUUGUUGGAACGAGAGGAUACACCAAGGGAGCACAAGGAGUCCUUGUGCUUACUUUUGUUUACACAUAAUAUACUUUUGUCGAGGGAUCCGAACAACAACAUAUUGUUUAUAUAUGUCUAUUUCUGUCAGGAUAUGAGGCUUUUAACAACUACCCUUGGGGUCAUGGGAGCUUUCAUGUAACUCUCGACUGCUUGUUGAAGCCUUUAGGAUAAAAGACCAGUAACUUGUUUGGGUUUCCAUGGGCUUUCAUGGUAAAACUGAAUGUUCUUAAUAGUUUUAUAUUAUAUUUAGUGAUAAUUCAACAUUUGAUUAUUGACAUGUUUUCCUUUUUUACUGGCCUGAGCAUUUGAAGCCAUUUCUUAUUUGACCUAUCAAGUAAUUGCAGAAGAACAAAGAUCAUCUCCAAGAUGUUGAGAUGGUUGAUAGCAAGAACAAAAACUACCAAAGAUGGGCAUAUUCCAAAUCUUUUUAACCCUCCUGCUGCAUCCUAUUAAUGCAGUUGUGCAUCCAUGGAUUACCCCAACAGAAGAGGAAUUGUAAAUGCCAUAUCUAAUUACUCUAGUGUUGGUUGCAACCAUUUCUGAUCCUGUUGUGGAUAGAAUUAAAAUGGUGUUGGCUAGAGCAACAACCAUCAAAAGAGGCAUAGUUGUUAAUGAAGUCGUUAAUAAAUUAAUUGUUUUUGAUGGUGUUGGUGCUGGAAAUGGUGUUGUUGCUGGUGCUGGUGUAGGACAACAUGAAGGGGCUACCUCUUGUAGAAGAUGUUGUGGCUUCCUCUGUGAGAAGUGCAAGAAACAUGAUGAUAAAGAUUCUAUCAUGAAUCUUCAAACCUUGAGUCAAACUGUCAAUGAAUUCAAAAACAAGAGGGGGAUGAAGGACAUUCUAUCAAAGAAUGUUCGGCAUCCAUAUACUCCACAUGCCAAGAGGAUGAAAGAAUCAUUUGCCAAGACAAUACAAAAUUUGAAGAAGAAGAUGUUUGGAGAAAUUCCAAGGGCCAUAAUGGAGGAAGUGAAGGAGUACAAAAAGUUAAAUAUUUACAAGCCUGUGACUGUAGCGGAAAAAAAUCAACCUGUUGAGUGUGACGAGUUCAAAGGAUAUUUGAAUAGAAUACGGCAUGCAUGUUAUUACCGGACAAGAUUUCAGGAAUAUGACAAGCACAAAAGUUAGGUGGGAAGACUGGCAGAGUCAUGUGACAUACCCGGACUACUAUGAUCCCAGAGAUAGAAUCCUGGUCUCAACUUCUAUACUAACUUCAAAAAAGAUAUAAAGAAAUGAGCGAUGAGGCAAAAACGGUUGGUGGUAGAAGCAUUAAACAGAUAGUAGAUAAAUUUGCAUGAGAUUAAGAUAUGAUUGACUAUGUCAGGGAUAUUAGGCCAUAUCUUCGAGGCAUGGAUUGGAUUGAUGCAAAACAGAUUUUGACAGUCAUGAACACGGAUAAUAUAUAUUGUGUGACUUUUGAGAUUAUGUUGCACGAGGUUCCCAUGAAUGUUUAUGACUGCAACCUGGUGGUUCUGGAACAUGCCAAGUUAUUGACACACAUACAAACUGUCUUCGAGUUGAUGCCUAAAUUGUUGAAGCAAAGUGGAAUAAUGAAACAUUUGCCAGAAAAGUUGCUCACUGAACCAUGGGAAUUUAAAGGUCGAAUGGAACCCAUGGUAAAAAAUGCAACUGACUCGGCAUGCGGGUCAUAUUCCCUUGCAUUCAUUGAGCAGUUUGUUAGCGGGACAGAAAUUCUACCUCCUAAAACCCUGUUAGGUGACAAUCUAAUUGAACGGAUGCAAUAUGUUUGGGCUUAUGGGAUAAUAUCUCGGAGCUUAAAACCUUGAGAAUGUGUUUGUAAUUAAAGAAAUGUUUUAUUUUAUCAAUUAUGUUGUUUUUUUAUCUUA
This is a long non-coding RNA of Solanum pennellii, 2498 nucleotides long. RefSeq lists it as uncharacterized. Lineage: Eukaryota; Viridiplantae; Streptophyta; Magnoliopsida; Solanales; Solanaceae. The record is from RefSeq and is a predicted model, not a curated record. The transcript is spliced from 3 exons.